Molecule: ribosomal RNA, 773 nt
Filed under: uncultured Methylobacter sp.
Lineage: Bacteria; Pseudomonadati; Pseudomonadota; Gammaproteobacteria; Methylococcales; Methylococcaceae
Description: bacterial SSU rRNA
Rfam family: Bacterial small subunit ribosomal RNA
Source: RNAcentral
UAGGCGGUUCGUUAAGUCAGAUGUGAAAGCCCUGGGCUCAACCUGGGAACUGCAUUUGAAACUGGCGGACUAGAGUUUAGUAGAGGGGAGUGGAAUUUCAGGUGUAGCGGUGAAAUGCGUAGAUAUCUGAAGGAACACCAGUGGCGAAGGCGACUCCCUGGACUAGAACUGACGCUGAGGUACGAAAGCGUGGGUAGCAAACAGGAUUAGAUACCCUGGUAGUCCACGCCGUAAACGAUGUCGACUAGCCGUUGGCCCUAUUUACAGGGUUAGUGGCGCAGCUAACGCAUUAAGUCGACCGCCUGGGGAGUACGGCCGCAAGGUUAAAACUCAAAUGAAUUGACGGGGGCCCGCACAAGCGGUGGAGCAUGUGGUUUAAUUCGAUGCAACGCGAAGAACCUUACCUACCCUUGACAUCCAGAGAAUCUGUUAGAGAUAGUAGAGUGCCUUCGGGAGCUCUGAGACAGGUGCUGCAUGGCUGUCGUCAGCCCGUGUCGUGAGAUGUUGGGUUAAGUCCCGUAACGAGCGCAACCCUUGUCCUUAGUUGCCAGCGGGUAAUGCCGGGAACUCUAGGGAGACUGCCGGUGAUAAACCGGAGGAAGGUGGGGACGACGUCAAGUCAUCAUGGCCCUUAUGGGUAGGGCUACACACGUGCUACAAUGGCCGGUACAGAGGGCAGCGAACUUGCGAAAGUAAGCAAAUCCCAGAAAGCCGGUCUUAGUCCGGAUUGGAGUCUGCAACUCGACUCCAUGAAGUCGGAAUCGCUAGUAAUC